GGCAACACAUGUGGAUAUGUCACUUAGUCUUAAAACGACAGACAAAAUGUAUGUUAAACCAUAGAUUCCCUAUCAAAUAAAGGCUUUCGAAUCCCGGAGUAUCAAUCCACACCCUCAAGAGAUCUCAAACAGCAUCACCAAGAAUUUGAAUCAUCAUCUCCUCACUGCUUCAGGUUACUUCAGUUCAGCUUGUCUACUUUUUCACUGCUAGAAUUUUAAAGAACACUCAAAAUGAUGACAAGCCUUGGUAUGAAAGAUGCGCCGGACUGACGAGAGCAUGUGAGAUGCUGCCUCAAAUUUCAAAUACGUCAUCUUCUCAGUGUCUCAAGCUAAUUCAGUUCAACUUCUUUGUGAUUCAUUCAAUACUAAGAUGUUAAGGUAUGUCUCACGUAGGGAGUUUUAUUUAUUGUAAAAAGGUCUGUUUACAUGGACUCUUAUAAAACCACUCAGACAAUCAGUCUUUACUGUUUACAACUGAAACAAAGUUGUUAUUUAUUUCAAAAACUAUGAACUUAACUAUGAGCUGUGUACAUUUUGUAGCUCCUUUGAAUCAUCAGGCCUGAUACUUUGCAGAGACAAGUUACGCAGCAAUUGCCGUCCAUGUACACGGUCUUAGUCAUUGCCUUGGUGCCCAUUGAGUAUACUAAUUCAAAUUUCCCUCACUGACUCUGGCAUUUUAAUGAUAAAAGCUGCCUUGCCCUUACAAGAAUGAAGCAUCAGGCCUGAAGAAUGGGUAAUGAAAUGCAGAAAUAUAGGGCUACUAGCUACGACUUACAUUUUGUACUGAAUACCAAAGCAGUGUAGUGAACACUCAUGCAACAUAGGCUAACAUGUACAGUUUUAAAACAUAACUUUACACAGAUGUAAGAGUUUGAAACACGUUCUAAAUACCUAGUUUGAUAAUUAUAUGUGGUAAAUGUGAUGUAUUUGUAUCACACGUGAUUAUAUUUAUCUGCAAAACAUUGUACGAGCCGAGAAGGGCCUUUGGUUUUAACGGAAUCCAAAUAUAUGGAAACUUAGAGUGAACAUCUGCAUUUCCAUAAAGUUGUUUGCUUAGUACUGAAAGUAAAUGUACAGUAUCUUUCCACCAUUUUAUCUUAAAAGCCAGAUUCCGCAAAUCCAUGAGAACCCCAACAUAAAUAGUUAUCAUAUUUUUUUAUGAUUCUUUGAUAUAUUUAACUUGGAAAAUUGACAAUGCAGAUGGUCCUUCUAAGCUUCCAUACAAUUUUUGUAACAUCUUUUGAAGUCUGGUUCCAAGUCUCUUAGUGCUAAUACAACACUAAUUCUUAAUGUAUGUGCCAGACUAAUUUCUUCACACACUACUACUGGUAGGCCUACAUUUUGUAUACACUUAGCUAAUAAGUUAUCAAGUUUAUGUGUGUAUAAAGGCCCCUAACUCUUAAUAUAUUAUGCCAGCUUCGGAAUUCACAGUUAUAAGUUGAGCAUACAUACUUUGUAAUACUUAAAUAAAGAAGUUUUAAGGUUAGAAGUCACGAACGUGUGUUCUGUGCAAUUUAAUUGUUAAAUUAGAGAGUUAUAUUAUAGCACGUACAACUUACGCUAAGUGCCAAUUUAGAGUAAUUUUAAGCAAUUAUUUAUUAAAACGACCCUUUCCUGUAAGUUUGUUUGUCACCAGCAUGCUUAUUACAUGUAGAAUGUUAACAGGAUACCAUGGAGUGUGUCACGCACUGUUUUAAGGGUGUUUUAAAUGUUUUCACUCUCAUUUUUUGUAAUUUUCAGUGAUUUUCAUGUUUUUUCCCAAAAAAA
Molecule: long non-coding RNA, 1767 nt
Organism: Asterias rubens (European starfish)
Lineage: Eukaryota; Metazoa; Echinodermata; Asteroidea; Forcipulatida; Asteriidae
Exons: 3
Source: RefSeq, a predicted model, not a curated record